UCUUUCCGUGACUUUGUUGGUAACUCAAAACCCUUCAUUAAAAUGAAUGGAAAUAACAUUAGGCGGCACGGUGGUUGACUGUUUAGCACAUCCACCUCACAGUUCUGUGGACCCGGGUUCAAGUCCGGCCUCACCUGUGUGGAUUUGGCAUGUUCUCCCCGUGCCUGCGUGGGGUUCACCGGUUUCCUCCCACAUCCCAAAAACAUGCACGCCUGCCUCAGACAUGAUUCAUGAACUUCUUACCAGAGAAGUCACUCUUAUUCUCAUCAAAAGCAUCCACCAUGCCCAUGCCGACCAGGACUUUCCCCAACUCAUAAGUCACCUCCAUUUUGAAUCGAGGCAGGCCCACCUGGACCUCAACUUCUAACUCCAUGUUGUCUGAACGAGUCCACGUCAUCAUUUUUUCAUAGGUGAGUUCCUGCUCCAACUAUCAAGGUGACAAUUAUCAAACCAAAUAGCAUGUCUGUUUAAUUUUGUGUGUUGUUUUUUCCCAAUUAAAUAUGUCAUGUUUUUACCUUC
This is a long non-coding RNA of Phyllopteryx taeniolatus (common seadragon), 519 nucleotides long. RefSeq lists it as uncharacterized. NCBI's taxonomy places the organism in Eukaryota, Metazoa, Chordata, Actinopteri, Syngnathiformes, Syngnathidae. The transcript has 2 exons. The record is from RefSeq and is a predicted model, not a curated record.